UUAUUAACAGUAAUAAGGUGCCAGUUCAAAUGAAAAAAAUAUUGCAUUAUUUAUUAUAUUAAACUGUAGUUUAAAACCAAGAUGCUAAAGUGUUUUUGAACAGUACCUUGGUAAAUAUUACAGUUUUUUACAAUUGCUAGGACACAUUUCUCCAUACUUUGAUGACUUUUUCAAAACUCUUCACACAGUGAGCACAUAUGUGUGAGCUAAACUGUGGAUCAUUUAUCAUUGCUCUGGCACAAAAUGCUUUCAUUGACCACUUCUUUCAAAUUUCAUGAAUUCUUUUCUCACUUAGACACAACAAUUGCCAAAACUCUGUGUACCUACAGACUAAUGAUGCACACAUCUACAUACUCUUUUCAAAAUUGUUAAACUUGAGUUCAAAACAAUAACAUAAUACAAAACUGAAUAAGACAGCAAUUUUCUGUAUUUCUACAAUGAUAUUUGAUUGAAAUGUAUUUUGAUUCUAAAAAUUAAAUGCUAUCAAAACAGUUGGACCAACCACAGAUGAUUCCAAUUGUAGCUAAAGACACAUGCGACACUCCUUUAUGUAAUUUCAUUACCAUCUAUAAAAAAGAGGAGAAAUGAGGAAUCGUUUGAAUUAUAACAUAAACAUGGACCAAGCCAGACAUAGAGAAGUGGUUGAAAAAGUAAGAGGAAUACGUAUGCGUGGUGGAAGAAGAACAUACUCACUUACGUACAUGAACUAGUGUCCUGCAACCACUAGUAAAGAAAUAUCAAAAAUGACAUCUGGGGUUUGAAUAAUUAUUGGUUUGACUGUAUAAUCUUUAUAAAAUAAAUAACCAAACACUAAUAAAUCUUUUGAUUUCACAUAUUUUAAUGUUUGUUUAAUGUUUAAUGUUUGUAAAGAAUGGUUGAGAAACACUGUCCUAAAUUAAGGCAUUUAUUAAUAAUAACUAAAAGUAUGAAAAGAUGCCCAAUUUGGACUAAUAAACAUAAUAUAAUAACAAAUAACUCAUGUUUUGUAACUAAUAUAUAACAAACAUUUUGUUUAAAGAAAUCAUAUUUAUUGAUAUAUCAUUACCCUAAAAUAAAUGUUCAAUGUCAUCAAAAAAUGUAAUGUAAAAGUGCCAUUUCAACAUAAAACAAGAAAAUGAAACGGAAUAAAAUAACACAACAACAUCUAAUAAAUGUUCUACAUCAAUGUCAAGGAGAAGCAUUUCUGGUGGAAUUUAGUGACCCUUGAAAAAAGAUAAAUAAGACUGUUUCAAAGCAACAACAUAAACAAACGUUACUGUGCAUGAGUCCCUGCAGAUUAUUGCUGAUAAAUUACAUUAGCCAGCAAGUUAAAAGUAUGUCUAGCCAGUAUUAUUUUGGGUUAUAAUACUAGGAACUAGCUGCAUCGCUGCACUUGCAAAAACGCGAUGACAUCAAUCAGGCCCUUUUCCACAAUUCUAAAUAAAUUGUAUUCCAUAUGACAAAAAAAUACAUUUUUUU
Molecule: long non-coding RNA, 1458 nt
Organism: Triplophysa rosa
Lineage: Eukaryota; Metazoa; Chordata; Actinopteri; Cypriniformes; Nemacheilidae
Exons: 2
Source: RefSeq, a predicted model, not a curated record